Molecule: long non-coding RNA, 757 nt
Organism: Physella acuta
Lineage: Eukaryota; Metazoa; Mollusca; Gastropoda; Physidae
Source: RefSeq, a predicted model, not a curated record
ACAUAGACGGGACCCUUGGCCAGUGUUAAAGUUUAGAUCUAGUCCACGAUGUAUGCUUCACGUUCAAGUUUUCUUUGUUUAUUUAAUAUUAAUAGAAAUCUGCCCACACUCUGAUUUUGUGUACUGUUUACACUGCAGUCUAAGCAUGACAAUGUCAAUACUGUUACCCCAGCUGGAACAGGCAGGCUAUUUUAAAGUGGGCCUAUGGACUGAAUUGACUUGAGGCUUCAGUGUAUUUUCCUUGUGGUGAUUAUUCCUACAUUGUAAUAAAACAGCACAUUGAAAUUCUUCCUGAAAGUUGAUGAUGCAUCUGAUUGCACAUGAUUGCGCAAACACUUGAAGAGACAAAGAUUAAUUCAGCACUUGCCCAAUGAAUGCUUGCUGGCUUUGCAAACAUUUGAAAGGAUUGUCUGUAAAUGGGGAAAAAAAUGUGUUUGGGCGUCUGCAGAUGGACCUGAUGACACUGGAUUGACCUGUUUAAUUAAUUAAAUAUCCACUGCAGAUAGUAGAGAAAUACACAAACGCAUUGUUGCUAAAUUAUAUUUAAUAAUUUAAUUUACACUUUUCUAAAAGCUAUAAGAAUGAUCACAAAUCCAGUUAACUAAUAAAUGUAUAAUACUGAUAUCACUGAAGAGUAGUUGGUCUUAGAGUUAGAAACUGAGUAUUUAAAAAAAUCAUUUUAAAAAUUCUUUUUUAUGAGAUGAAUAGAAACAACAAAUGAUCACUACACAGUGAUACAAUAAAUUUUGUUACAAAC